Molecule: ribosomal RNA, 206 nt
Filed under: uncultured bacterium
Lineage: Bacteria
Description: partial 16S ribosomal RNA
Rfam family: Bacterial small subunit ribosomal RNA
Source: RNAcentral
AAUAACAAUCGGAAACGAUUGCUAAUACUGCAUAAUGCAGCGGCAUCUAUGAUGACAGUUGUUAAAGCGGGGGAUCGCAAGACCUCGCGCCUGAAGAGAAGUCCGCGUCAGAUUAGCUAGUUGGUAGGGUAAUGGCCUACCAAGGUGACGAUCUGUAGCCGGCCUGAGAGGGCGGUCGGCCACACUGACACUGAUAUACGGGUCAG